AGUGAACGCUGGCGGUAGGCCUAACACAUGCAAGCCGAACGGCAGCACAGUAAGAGCUUGCUCUUACGGGUGGCGAGUGGCGGACGGGUGAGGAAUACAUCGGAAUCUACUUUUUCGUGGGGGAUAACGUAGGGAAACUUACGCUAAUACCGCAUACGACCUACGGGUGAAAGCAGGGGAUCUUCGGACCUUGCGCGAUUGAAUGAGCCGAUGUCGGAUUAGCUAGUUGGCUGGGUAAAGGCCCACCAAGGCGACGAUCCGUAGCUGGUCUGAGAGGAUGAUCAGCCACACUGGAACUGAGACACGGUCCAGACUCCUACGGGAGGCAGCAGUGGGGAAUAUUGGACAAUGGGCGCAAGCCUGAUACAGCCAUACCGCGUGGGUGAAGAAGGCCUUCGGGUUGUAAAGCCCUUUUGUUGGGAAAGAAAAGCAGCAGGUUAAUACCCCGCUGUCCUGACGGUACCCAAAGAAUAAGCACCGGCUAACUUCGUG
This 492-nucleotide ribosomal RNA is filed under the name uncultured bacterium. RNAcentral's name for it is "partial 16S ribosomal RNA". It matches the Rfam family "Bacterial small subunit ribosomal RNA", at positions 29 to 507 of the family's 1533-position model. The record is from RNAcentral.